GGUCUGUGGCUCAGUGGAAGAGUGCUUGCCUAGAAUGUGUGAGGCACUGGGUUCAAUUCUCAGCACCA
Molecule: transfer RNA, 68 nt
Filed under: Marmota monax (woodchuck)
Lineage: Eukaryota; Metazoa; Chordata; Mammalia; Rodentia; Sciuridae
Description: tRNA.Ser
Source: RNAcentral